GUCAUUCAUGACAUUUCUCUUUCUCUAUGUAGGCAUGGAUGCAUUGGAUAUAGAGAAGUGGAAUAUUGUUAGUGAAACAUAUAUCCCAAUGAUAUCUAUCGCCUUGAGCUCCAUUGUUUUGGCGUUGGUGCUGUCCAGGCGAGAAGAUCUCUAUUAGGCAGCAAAUCUCAUGACAGGUGCUGUGUUAGUUGCAUUGGCCUAUGAUAAGAUAUCCUGAAGGAGAACAAGGAGCUGCCUAAAGGGGAUGAGAUCAACAAGUUUCAAUCGAAAGAGGUAUACCCAUCUGUCUGCAGUUUGAUCUUAAGAAACUCGUCCCUUGGCCAUGCUGUGAUGUUUAUGUCUUUCCACUUAUCCAAUUUUAGUUCCAUUUGAAGCGAUGCAUAUUGGAACAUAUUUUUCAGUCCUUCCAGCUAUUACAUGAAUAAAUGACCAAGUAUUAGCAUCAGAAGCAAAGAAUGACAGAAAUUGUCUUAUCAAAAGAUGGUGCAGUGGGACUAAUAACUAACCAUAGCGUUAAGGUCUUUGCGGGGCAUUCCUGGGCCUAGCGAGUCGAGCACCUGGAUACGUUUCACCCUAGUGUUUAUAACUGCUAGGUACCAAUGAAAGUGUUCAAUGUUUACUGGAAUAAAUAUCUGAAAAAAGAGAUUUUUGUUAGUUUAGGUCUCAUCUAUACAAACAUCUGUCCUCGAUUGAAUUCAUCAUAGUAAUAUGUACGGAACGGAGACUCACCAUAUCAUGUUCUAAAUAAGUCGUAGCUCUCUUUAAUACCCAUCUUGGUAUGUCAUCACGUAUAGAGCUAAAUUCCUUUAUCAUCUUAGAGAUGCAUGCAUUCUCUAAGAAAACACUUCCACCUGACCUCAUCUGUAGAUGCUCUUUAGCACUUAUGCAAUGUAUGUAUGAGUCUAUGAUCUAGAAUAUCAAGUGCACACCUUGGUUAUAAGAGAUAUAGGAACAUAUGUUAAAAUAGCAUCGUCUUGUCAUAAAGCUACAUAUACUUACUUCGUCGCCAACAAAUUCUUCGGCGGUUAAAAGACAUAGUAAUUGUUUUUUUUUAGAAAUGAGUCGUUGAUGCUCACUAAAUGUCUUUUAUCGCUUGGUUCAGACAUGAUAUUUUCAAUAACCGACCAAUCAUCGCCGGUGCAGGCGUAAUCUAUCAUGAUGUAAGCAAGAAGAAUUAUUAAUAAUGAAGAAAAUUAGUGAAGCAAAAGCAGGGCAUAGAAGGAUUUGUUCAUGCCUUCUGGAGCCACCACGUAGUCUUGUGCCUUCUUAGGUUUGUUAUGCAUUCGGAUAGGGAUAUGCUUCCCUGUUUGUGCCCCUUUCGUGCGUGAUGUGUGUGCUAAUUCUUCAUCAUCUGAUGCAUCUGUCACUUCGGAGACUUCGGAAUCAGUGGACCGCAUGCUAUCAUUUUUCUCCACUUCUUCUUUGUUAGCUAUUCCAUGCGAUUCUGGCAUCGUCUCCCCUAUAGUUUCUGGCCCUUCGGUACCGAAUGUUUGUGCUAAUUCCUCAACCUGAGCUGGCUGCAUUUGUUCACUUGUUUCAUUGAAGGUUAAUUCCUAAGAGAAACAUUACAAGAUAUAAUAUAGUUAGAAUUAGAACUAUUUGGGACAUAUUUGAAAAAAUGUAUAUGCCUGUUUCACCUUGGAUUCAGUGAACCACGAGAUCUUUUUUUUCUGCACUUCAUCUUUGUCGGCUAUUCCAUUUGAUUCUGCCAGCUUGUCCCCUAUAGUUUCUCCCCCUUCGGUGUUGAAUCUUUGUGCUAAUUCAUCGUCUUGAGUUGGCUGCAUUUGUUCACUUGUUUCCUUGAAGGUUAAUUCCUGAGAGGAACAUUACAAAGAAUAAUUUGUAUGGAGGAUAUAAAAUAAUUAGAAUUAGAACUAUUUGGGAUAGUCGAAAAGAAAGCAUGCCUUUGUCACUUCGCAAUCAGUAGCUUGUGUGCUAUUUUCUUUCUCUUCUCCAUCUUUGUUGUCUAUUCCAUUUGAUUCUUCCUCGGUUACUAUCUGAAACACACAAUAUACAAUAUUAUCCAGUACUUAUAAAGCAGAAAAUAUUAUUAAGGUCAGUAAAGAAUUGUAGGCAUGAUAUUAUUAUACUACAAAUUACAUAUUGUUUUGUCCCACCAGAAUAAAAGUAAUAAUGACAUGUGAAAAUAAAAACCGUCUUUGUCGACUUAGAGUAUCACCUCAUCAAUCUCCAUAUUUUCUGUAUCAUCCUUGAUGGUUUGUUCUUCUAUUGCCUUUGUUGACUCGGUGUUCAUAUCCUCAUCUUUGAUUAUCAUGCCUUCAAUCUGAAUAUUUUGUGUAUGAUCGUCCUUGGCUCCCUUGUCGAUGAGUUCCUGAAAACCCAAGCAUAUAUAAGUCGUAUGCUGCUGGUGGUAUGAUAUUCUGUUAAAUACAUAUAUAUCACGCACCUACAAAUUCUAUGGAUCUGCGGAUGUUUUGAUUACACAAUGGCAUUGUUUACCGAACUGAAGUUGUGUCAUAUUCAGAGGGUUAGUGUAGUCCCGAUAUGAGUGGCACCUCAUGGUCAGGCAAGUUUAAUUGUGUUCUGGCAAAAUUCUGUUUUAUGUUCAAUGGCUACUUGGGCUGAAUCGGUGAAUCAAUUGAUGGCAGAGCUCAUGUGGUAAAUAAGCACUCUUAUUUGUGUGUGGAAAACAGUUUCUGAUCUGCUCUUACCAUUAGACCCUAUGUUUUGUACAUCACAACUGGAUGCAGAUAUGUGUACACGUUUACUUAACAUAGUGCUACAAGAAUAUUGUUUUCACCUAAAUUAUAAUGAUCUAUUUCUUUGUUCAAUUAUGCAGUCAACCUAUUCAGAUUCACUUGCGUGACUAAUCAUCUGGAUGUUGUAAUAAUAAGAAUUUCCUAAGUCGCACAGAGCAUGUUGGUAAUUUUGUAGGGUCACACAGAUCAUGUUGUUUUACUUAGUUGGAUCCCCUCUGGUGAGUUUGUUGUUUCGCAGAUGCGAAAGCAUGAAUAGGAUGAAAUUGCAGAGAGAUACCAUUACCAUGAUUAUUGUAGAUUGAUCCGUACAGGCCACCGGGGAUUGUGGCGCAGACAUGGACGACGAUGGUAGGUCACCACCGACAGAUGUGUGCGGCAAGGUGGAGGCCUUCGCGGCGGAGGAGACCUUUGCUGGGGAACAGUGUGAGGAUGCGGCAGCGGUUCAGGGGAGGUUGAAGGGAAACCCUACGGUGCUUCUUUGGGUUCCUGAUCGAGAGUUCGUUAGGUAUAGGCAAUAUACAAGGCGGAAGUCACGGGAAGGACUUCCAUAGCGUGAGGAGGAAAGUGAAUCGUGAUUGCUAUGUCAGGCCCCACACUUUCCUUUGAUUUAUCUCUGGCCCCAUGCUUUCCUUUGUUUUAUCUCAGGCCCCACAUUGUUUUUGCUUUUAUUUAUACCCAAUCUGGAUAAAUUAAUUGAGUUAUUUUUGUAAUACAUUUUAUACAGGAAUAUCGAGUUAAGCUCAUUG
Triticum dicoccoides is the source of this 3466-nucleotide long non-coding RNA. RefSeq lists it as uncharacterized. The record is from RefSeq and is a predicted model, not a curated record. The transcript has 4 exons. Lineage: Eukaryota; Viridiplantae; Streptophyta; Magnoliopsida; Poales; Poaceae.